Molecule: long non-coding RNA, 829 nt
Organism: Macadamia integrifolia
Lineage: Eukaryota; Viridiplantae; Streptophyta; Magnoliopsida; Proteales; Proteaceae
Exons: 2
Source: RefSeq, a predicted model, not a curated record
AGUGGCGAAAACCUCGGCCUCGCCUAAGCCCCCCCUCGAACUCUGGAUUCUAGAGGAUAUCGAGGACACAAUGCGGAAAAGAUACGGUUGUGGAGGUUUCCGAAGUCCAACCUUAAAGAAUCUGGUCGAGCUUCAUGGUAUCCGGUGCUCUGAGACUCACAUUGAUUCACUUGUUAAAAGGUGGUGUGGAGAGACGAGAGAUUUGUUGAGUUUGCAGAGAGGGAUACCAUGACUCUCGGCUUGAUUAAUGCUAAUCCAAUUGUUCACGCCGCCAAGAAGAGAAGAUCGCUCGGACAAAGAUCUUCACGGCGAUGAUGCUGUUGAUCCACUCGAAAUCUAUGAUGUCCCUCCACCAAUCAGCAUCUCAAACCCUAGCCAUUCUUCAAAAGAAUUUAAGUAUCACUUUCCCGAUCUGAUUUCUAUGUUCGUAAAAAGAAAAUGGGAGAUUUUGGAAUCGAUUUUGAGUGUAAUCUUUGACUCAAGGUGUCACAGAUUUCGUGAGGGAUAUAAGAGACCCAGCGCAUCCUUACUCGCUUGGACAGCUUAACGUUCUCUCCGAGGAAUCAAUUCCUGUCGAUGAGAAAAGCUCUGACGCAUUCUGUAAGCUUUUCUUAUAUGGGUUUUCUCUUUAGUUUCUUUUCCACCAAAGAAUUGCGUGGAAUUGUAUGGUAAUGAUCUCAGGCAAACAUUUGGGGGAAAAAAUUUAAGCAAAUCCUGCCUGACUAGUGCAGUUUUGCUUCUAAAUAAUAAUGAAAUUAUGACUUCCACUCAGAGUUGAAAUUUACUCAUCUAUUUCUGUACUUUGCUUAUAAGAGAUUUUGUUAUUCAA